RNAcentral lists this microRNA precursor (106 nucleotides) under Canis lupus familiaris (dog). RNAcentral describes it as "mir-8834 microRNA precursor family". It matches the Rfam family "mir-8834 microRNA precursor family". The record is from Rfam by way of RNAcentral. Lineage: Eukaryota; Metazoa; Chordata; Mammalia; Carnivora; Canidae.
AGGAGGAACAACCGCAGUGGCGGCGGCCAGCUCUGGAUCCUUGGAGUCAGCUCCCACAGUAACUCCAGAGCUCUCAGUCUGCAGGGCCUGGAGGCUCUGGGGUGGG